This 517-nucleotide ribosomal RNA is filed under the name uncultured bacterium. RNAcentral describes it as "bacterial SSU rRNA". It matches the Rfam family "Bacterial small subunit ribosomal RNA", at positions 32 to 524 of the family's 1533-position model. The record is from RNAcentral.
AAUCAACGCUGGCGGCGUGCCUCAGACAUGCAAGUCGAACGCGAAAGUCCCCUUCGGGGGACGAAGUAGAGUGGCGCACGGGUGAGUAACACGUAGGUAAUCUACCUUUGGAUGGGGAAUAACAACCGGAAACGGUUGCUAAUACCGCAUAAUGCAGCGGCACCUAAUGGUGACAGUUGUUAAAGCGGGGGAUCGAAAGACCUCGCGUCUAAAGAGGAGCCUGCGGCGGAUUAGCUAGUUGGUAAGGAAUGGCUUACCAAGGCUACGAUCCGUAACCGGCCUGAGAGGGCGGUCGGUCACACUGACACUGACAUACGGGUCAGACUCCUACGGGAGGCAGCAGUCGGGAAUUUUGGGCAAUGGGCGAAAGCCUGACCCAGCAACGCCGCGUGAAGGAUGAAAUCCCUCGGGAUGUAAACUUCGCAAGAAUAGGAAGAAUUAGUAGGGGCUAAUACCCUCUAUGAUGACGGUACUAUUUGUAAGCUCCGGCUAACUCCGUGCCAGCAGCCGCGGUAAU